UACGUAGGGCGCAAGCGUUGUCCGGAAUUAUUGGGCGUAAAGAGCUCGUAGGCGGUUUGUCGCGUCUGUCGUGAAAGCUUGGGGCUUAACCCCAAGUCUGCGGUGGAUACGGGCAGACUAGAGGCAGGUAGGGGAGAACGGAAUUCCCGGUGUAGCGGUGGAAUGCGCAGAUAUCAGGAGGAACACCGGUGGCGAAGGCGGGACUCUGGGCCGAUACUGACGCUGAGGAGCGAAAGCGUGGGGAGCAAACAGG
Molecule: ribosomal RNA, 253 nt
Filed under: uncultured bacterium
Lineage: Bacteria
Description: partial 16S ribosomal RNA
Rfam family: Bacterial small subunit ribosomal RNA
Source: RNAcentral